This is a long non-coding RNA of Microtus oregoni (creeping vole), 506 nucleotides long. RefSeq lists it as uncharacterized. The record is from RefSeq and is a predicted model, not a curated record. The transcript has 3 exons. Lineage: Eukaryota; Metazoa; Chordata; Mammalia; Rodentia; Cricetidae.
GGUCAAAGGCUUCUGAGUCUCUGGGGCUUUUCUCUGGCUUGGGCCCCUUAAUCUAGAGUUCAAGGCCAUCAGGCGUUCAAGGAGGCCAAACCUCAAGGCAGGCGCCCAACUGGAGAUUCUGUGCCCAGGGUCGAGCUGAGACUGCUCCUUGCCCCUCGAAGCUCCCCACUUCCCGGCGGGAGGAGAACAAGGUCUUGUGGCCUUUUAUGCUGGCGGUCAGCUGAGCUGCAAGGCUCCUGUGAGCAGAAGCCAGACUUUUCUGUGUUCCCCUAAAUGCCAGAAGAUUGGGGGUACCCUCUUUGGGAUUGCUGGUGCAUCUGCAGAAUUGCCCAAUUCUCCAGGAGUAUGGAGUAUAUUUAUUUAUUAGGGACUGGAGAGAUGGCUCCGUGGUUAAGAGCACUGACUGCUCUUCCAGAGGACCCAGGUUCAACUCCCAGCACCCACAUGACAGCUCGCAACUCUCUGACUCCGGUUCCAAAGGCACCCUCACACAGACAUCCAGGCAA